UGCGGGGUGGAGCAGUCUGGUAGCUCGUCGGGCUCAUAACCCGAAGGUCGUUGGUUCAAAUCCAGCCCCCGCAACCA
This 77-nucleotide transfer RNA is filed under the name Pseudomonas aeruginosa. Its description in RNAcentral is "tRNA-Met". It matches the Rfam family "tRNA". From Rfam's summary of the family: Transfer RNA (tRNA) molecules are approximately 80 nucleotides in length. Lineage: Bacteria; Pseudomonadati; Pseudomonadota; Gammaproteobacteria; Pseudomonadales; Pseudomonadaceae. The record is from RNAcentral. RNAcentral also lists the same sequence under 5 other names.